This 67-nucleotide transfer RNA is filed under the name Triticum aestivum (bread wheat). RNAcentral describes it as "tRNA_LysCTT". The record is from RNAcentral. Lineage: Eukaryota; Viridiplantae; Streptophyta; Magnoliopsida; Poales; Poaceae.
CAUCAUGGGACUUGAAUCCACGUCCACAGGGUUAAGAGCCUUGUGCUUUACCAGCUGAGCAGUGGAC